This 1555-nucleotide long non-coding RNA is filed under the name Trifolium pratense (red clover). Its description in RNAcentral is "long non-coding RNA (TPRA_LNC000777)". The record is from RNAcentral. Lineage: Eukaryota; Viridiplantae; Streptophyta; Magnoliopsida; Fabales; Fabaceae.
ACCACACAAGAUAAACUCUAGUAAAACAGAAACUCUUGUAAUACAUUCAUUUCAUAAACAAAACCAAUCCGACUAUAAGACAAAUCCGAAUUGAAUAGUACAAACGCAAAGACCACUACAAAAGAGAUAUUGUCAAACUUUGGCCAUACUUAUGAGAAAAUCAAUGACAAAUUUUAGUACAAACACAAAGACUACUACAAAAGAGAUUGUCAAACUCUAGCCCUACUUUCUUCUGCGACCUAUGACUUGAUGAGAACCACCCACUUCAUUGAAAAAGGAAGGCCUCAAACUACCUGUAUAAUAAAACAUAGUCAUUGUAUAUAUAGAUGUACAAGAAAUCAAGUACAUAGGCAUUCCAUCAUUUGACUGAAUACAAAUAUACUAUAGAAGAUAUCAAUGAUCAUGAAUUGCUACAAAAACCUAAAAUUUAAGAAUAUGUAGUCCUAACCAAAGAUAUGAAGAUAGGAAGUAAAAUCAUAAACACUACCUCACAAGAGACAAGCACAAAGAACAAACCAUGACCGCUUGAGUAACCUCAACAAACACGAACAGAGAGCAGGGGUGAAACAAAGGAACCUUGACAACACCUUUGUCGGCUUGUGAAGUACAGUACUGCUGCCUCUGACAGCUUGCGUAAAAUCAGUUCAAAACAAAGAAUACCAUAAAAAAGUUUUCAUUGUUGUUAAAAUUUGGUUCCGACUAUGAAUCGUAUGCCCGAUUUUAACAAUAGAAUUCAACAAUAGAAAUAAUUAAACUAGACAUACAAUACAUACAUACUCAAGUUGUCUCUAAGAAAAAGAGGUAAUUACUAGAUAAUUCUAUCUAGUAAAGCAUAAUUGGAAAGUAACAAGAAAAAUGGGUGAGAUCAUUGAUUGUAGUUAUCAAACUAAUAGAACCUACAUAACAAACCUUAGCUAAACAAUUAUAGCAUCACCGACAUGGCCCCAGUCUGACUUGUUGUUUACCUGAACAUUCAGAAAGCAAGAGAACCAAAAUGUUAUGAAUUAAGACUUGUCAAUAGGAGAGAGUUCAUACAAGGCUUCCAUUUCAUAAUAAUGUCCACAAUUUUGACAUAGCAACAAAGUCAGAUAACAUUUGAAGUAAUAGCUAUUGAAUUGGACAAUUAGCAUUCCAUUCAUUCAAUACAAUAGAUCAUGAUGAACAAUAGAUUUUAAUUUAUUAAAUUUUAAAAACACUCUUUAAUUUUAUCGGAUGUCCCCUAAGGGACAAAACACUCUUUAAUUUAUUAUCAAUAAACAGGAACAAUAGGCAACUCAACUCAAAAUGCCUUAUUAAGAUGCAACCUUUCUUAUUUUGUUUCCCAAAUUGAUUUUGUGCUUAAUAUGGUUGUCUGGAGCCUAAAAAGAUCAAUGCCAAAUAUGCUAUCUUUGUUGAAAAUUGUUCAUAUUGAACAAAAAUAUACUGGUAGUAUAAUAAAAGGCAAAAUAUGAAACUUGCUAGUUGAAACUUGGUACAUAAUACCACGAAACAAUAUAGAUUUAAGUAAUUAAAACUUGUAUAUGAAUGAUUUACAAGGUCAUGAUGUAUGUGUCUU